AAAUCCAACAUUUUGUUGGAUAAUCCCACUAACUCUUAGUGGGAUAUGUGGCUAUAUGAGAUAUAGACACCUAGCCCACUAAGUUCCACUAAUUGUUAGUGGAACAUUAGCUGUUGAGAUUUGGCAAAUGAAUUGCAUGCAUUUUUGCAUGUAAUUAGGUUAUAAAUAGAGGUGUUUUCAAAUGUUGAAGGACUUUUGCCUCUUUUAUCAUUUUCAUCAUCUCAACAAAAAGAAUUCCAAUCUCAUUUUAUCUCCAUUACUUUCUACACCAAAAUUGGGUCCCACAACCCGGUUCUUUGUCUAGAGGAUAGCAGUUGAGUACUAGUGGUGGUCUCGGUUAGAAUUGGUAAGAAGAUAUCGAACCUUUUGAAAGCUUCAAAGGUAAUAUUUCUUAAAACCCUAAUUUGAUUAGUUUAUGGUUAUAUGUUAAUUGUGACAAUUAGGGUAGAAAUUCGAUUCUUUUCCGCUUUGCAUGACUUAGGUCUAUCACCAUCAACCAGAGAUCCAUGACCAAUUCCAUUCAUAAAUGUGUCCACACCAUUCGGCUUCGGCCCAUUUACCGGCUCACUAGGUUUCAUCAAGUUUUCAUUCAAAACAAUCGGCCCACACGCCUUUGGGCCAAC
This 623-nucleotide long non-coding RNA is filed under the name Cucumis sativus (cucumber). Its description in RNAcentral is "long non-coding RNA (CSAT_LNC003149)". Lineage: Eukaryota; Viridiplantae; Streptophyta; Magnoliopsida; Cucurbitales; Cucurbitaceae. The record is from RNAcentral.